This 478-nucleotide ribosomal RNA is filed under the name uncultured bacterium. RNAcentral describes it as "bacterial SSU rRNA". It matches the Rfam family "Bacterial small subunit ribosomal RNA", at positions 343 to 839 of the family's 1533-position model. The record is from RNAcentral.
GGGAGGCAGCAGUGGGGAAUAUUGGACAAUGGGCGCAAGCCUGAUCCAGCCAUGCCGCGUGAGUGAUGAAGGCCUUAGGGUUGUAAAGCUCUUUCACCCACGACGAUAAUGACGGUAGUGGGAGAAGAAGCCCCGGCUAACUUCGUGCCAGCAGCCGCGGUAAUACGAAGGGGGCUAGCGUUGUUCGGAUUUACUGGGCGUAAAGCGUACGUAGGCGGACCGUUAAGUCGGAGGUGAAAUCCUGGGGCUCAACCCCAGAACUGCCUUCGAUACUGGCGGUCUCGAGUCCGGGAGAGGUGAGUGGAACUGCCAGUGUAGAGGUGAAAUUCGUAGAUAUUGGCAAGAACACCAGUGGCGAAGGCGGCUCACUGGCCCGGUACUGACGCUGAGGUACGAAAGCGUGGGGAGCAAACAGGAUUAGAUACCCUGGUAGUCCACGCUGUAAACGAUGGAAGCCAGCCGUCGGGCAGCAUGCUGU